CAGUCGCCGCGGUAAAACGUAGGUGGCAAGCGUUGUCCGGAAUUAUUGGGCGUAAAGGGCUCGCAGGCGGUUUCUUAAGUCUGAUGUGAAAGCCCCCGGCUCAGCCGGGGAGGGUCAUUGGAAACUGGGAAACUUGAGUGCAGAAGAGGAGAGUGGAAUUCCACGUGUAGCGGUGAAAUGCGUAGAGAUGUGGAGGAACACCAGUGGCGAAGGCGACUCUCUGGUCUGUAACUGACGCUGAGGAGCGAAAGCGUGGGGAGCGAACAGGAUUAGAUACCCCAGUAGUCCCUGUCUAUUAUAA
RNAcentral lists this ribosomal RNA (301 nucleotides) under uncultured bacterium. Its description in RNAcentral is "partial 16S ribosomal RNA". It matches the Rfam family "Bacterial small subunit ribosomal RNA", at positions 509 to 809 of the family's 1533-position model. The record is from RNAcentral.